This is a long non-coding RNA of Lathyrus oleraceus (garden pea), 2001 nucleotides long. RefSeq lists it as uncharacterized. NCBI's taxonomy places the organism in Eukaryota, Viridiplantae, Streptophyta, Magnoliopsida, Fabales, Fabaceae. The transcript has 6 exons. The record is from RefSeq and is a predicted model, not a curated record.
GGGUGCAACGAAACGGAGGGUGUAUUGAGCGAAAGAAGUUUGGGUUGUGGCCACGGGCCCAUCACACCAUUGAGACGCAGCCGUGAGCCUCUCUCACAUCUGCAAACCUAAAUCCCAUUUCAUCACUUCACUCACAAACCAAUUCAAAAUUGCGACGGCGCCGAUUCCUCCAACAUCGCAUGAGAAGAGACGCCUCAAAUCUCGAUCUUGUGUCCCUCGCUGGAUCGGAGCUCCGGUGCGAUCAUAAAUUACGGCGCCGGAGGAAGACUCGACCGAUGGCGUUCACGACUCAUCAAGAACUCACCUCAGUAUUCAAAAUGUUUCUCUGAUUAUGGUCGAUUGGGAUGCGGAACGUAGCGAGGUGCAAACGGCUGAUUCGGCGAUGGAAAGCUUUGUGUUGGUGACGGCGGUUUUCUUCAGCUCGUUGCGAGUUGAAGGAGAACGAUGAAGAUGAUGACGAAAUCACUCCCUCUGGUAAAAUGUGAAUAGGUUGAGGAUGAAAGAUGAUGAAAUCCGGUAUUAGCUGCAAUCUGAGGACGAAGACAAAAAUGGUACAGGUUGGUUGAGGGUGAGCCAGGGUCGUUGAAGGGUGGUUUGAAGACGGGAUUUUGGUGGUUAGGGGUUUUGGAGGAUGAUGAUGGAGAUGAAGGAGUGGAAUUGAAGCGUUGAAGAUGGAGAAGGUUUGUUACAGGUUGAAGGAUUAAGGAGUGUGGUGGAUGAUUGAUGAAGAAGCUGGAAGUGGAUUCCUUUUUUUUUGAAGGAAGAUUGAAGCGGUUGAAGGUUGGUGCGGUGAAGGUUUUGUGAAUGGAUGUUGAAGUGGCGGUUCGGUGCAGUGGUUCAAUGGAGGUUGAAGGUGGAUAGAGGAUCCGGAUUAGGUGGAAGGUGAGGAUUACGAUUACGGUUGCAGUUUUGGUUGAAGAAUUGAGGUGGAAGAAGGUAGCAGGUUAAAGGAUUGAACCGUGUGGUGGAGGAUUGAUGAAGGUUGGAGAAGAAGCUGGAUUGUGAUUGAGAGUGGAGGUGGAGAAGAAUGGGGAGGAAAGUGAGAGAGGUUCAAGGUUGCCACCGAAAAACCAGAAAAAAAAACUUAACCAAAUCAUCCAGGUUUUGUUAGAAGGUUGUUGAUAGUUGGAAGUUAUGAAGGGUGUUAUGAAUGAGUUGGAAGUUUGUUAUAUGGUUAUGACAGUUUUAGAGAAAUGGACGCACAACUGUCAGUUUGUUUCUAUUGAAUAUGGCUUGGAUGGAAUUCCUGUUAGAGAGCAGCUUCCCUAGCUGCAUCUCGAACUUCAGGCUUCUCGGCUCUUUUCUUCUGAAUGACUUCCAGAAUAGCACCAACAAUUGACCUAGAGUAUGGCUUCUUGGUAGCACGACGUCUCUUCUUUACAGCUUCUUGAGCAAUGUCCUUCUUGUGUUGCUUUCUGAGAAUCACUGCGAAUAAAUCUGAUGCCUCUUCCUGGGUAGAUCUUUGCACCACUGAAUCGGCAGAGUUCAGUCUAGAGAACCAUUGUUGCUUCUCCGCUGGUGGCUGCUUCUGUUAUUUAAGGUUAUACUUCCUAUAGGCAUGUGAAUGAACUCCGUGAAAUCGGCCAUGGCUCUAGGUUUCUUUUCAGCAGAAAGAUGAUACUUGGCCAAUGCAAAGACAACUCUUUCACGGUAAUCGGGAUCGGCCCAGUCUGCAGCAAUGGCUUGUGCAAUUUUCUUUUUCUGUUCAGGGGAUUUGGGUGCUCUGUUGCUGGAUGGUGCCCUUGCCAUUAGUUUCCGCUGUUCAAGAGUCUGGAACCAGUCCCGCUGAAGCUGACCAUCCAACGUUUCAUAGGAAUUCCAUUGCAGCUCUUCCUGACCAAUAAAGCCUUGCCUGGAUGCUUCUGCAAUUAAAUUUUGCCACUGAAAUGUUUUAUGGUUGUAAAUGUAUGGUUGUGAUCACAUGAUAUAGAAUAAAAUUGGAAUUGUGUUGGAUUGGAAUUUUAAAUGAAGAUGAAUGUAUCAGUUGGUUCACAUGUUUUA